RNAcentral lists this ribosomal RNA (468 nucleotides) under uncultured bacterium. RNAcentral's name for it is "partial 16S ribosomal RNA". It matches the Rfam family "Bacterial small subunit ribosomal RNA", at positions 28 to 507 of the family's 1533-position model. The record is from RNAcentral.
GACGAACGCUGGCGGCGUGCUUAACACAUGCAAGUCGAACGGAAAGGCCCUGCUUUUGUGGGGUGCUCGAGUGGCGAACGGGUGAGUAACACGUGAGUAACCUGCCCUUGACUUUGGGAUAACUUCAGGAAACUGGGGCUAAUACCGGAUAGGAGCUCCUGCUGCAUGGUGGGGGUUGGAAAGUUUCGGCGGUUGGGGAUGGACUCGCGGCUUAUCAGCUUGUUGGUGGGGUAGUGGCUUACCAAGGCUUUGACGGGUAGCCGGCGUGAGAGGGUGACCGGCCACAUUGGGACUGAGAUACGGCCCAGACUCCUACGGGAGGCAGCAGUGGGGAAUAUUGCACAAUGGGCGGAAGCCUGAUGCAGCAACGCCGCGUGCGGGAUGACGGCCUUCGGGUUGUAAACCGCUUUCGCCUGUGACGAAACGUGAGUGACGGUAAUGGGUAAAGAAGCACCGGCUAACUACGUG